UACAGAGGUCUCAAGCGUUGUUCGGAUUCAUUGGGCGUAAAGGGUGCGUAGGUGGCGCCGUAAGUCAGGUGUGAAAUCUCGGGGCUCAACCCCGAAACUGCAUUUGAUACUGCGGUGCUCGAGUACUGGAGAGGAGAUUGGAAUUUACGGUGUAGCAGUGAAAUGCGUAGAUAUCGUAAGGAAGACCAGUGGCGAAGGCGAAUCUCUGGACAGUUACUGACACUGAGGCACGAAGGCCAGGGGAGCAAACGGG
Molecule: ribosomal RNA, 253 nt
Filed under: uncultured bacterium
Lineage: Bacteria
Description: partial 16S ribosomal RNA
Rfam family: Bacterial small subunit ribosomal RNA
Source: RNAcentral